This 680-nucleotide ribosomal RNA is filed under the name uncultured bacterium. RNAcentral's name for it is "bacterial SSU rRNA". It matches the Rfam family "Bacterial small subunit ribosomal RNA", at positions 94 to 791 of the family's 1533-position model. The record is from RNAcentral.
AGUGGCGGACUGGUGAGUAACACGUAAGCAACCUGCCUAUCAGAGGGGAACAACAGUUAGAAAUGACUGCUAAUACCGCAUAUGCCUAAGUACCACAUGGUACAAUAGGGAAAGGAGCAAUCCGCUGAUAGAUGGGCUUGCGUCUGAUUAGUUAGUUGGCAGGGUAACGGCCUACCAAGACAACGAUCAGUAGCCGGCUUGAGAGAGUGGACGGCCACAUUGGGACUGAGACACGGCCCAAACUCCUACGGGAGGCAGCAGUGGGGAAUAUUGCACAAUGGGGGAAACCCUGAUGCAGCGACGCCGCGUGAAGGACGAAGUAUUUCGGUACGUAAACUUCUAUCGGCAGGGAAGAAAAUGACGGUACCUGACCAAGAAGCCCCGGCUAACUACGUGCCAGCAGCCGCGGUAAUACGUAGGGGGCAAGCGUUAUCCGGAUUUACUGGGUGUAAAGGGAGCGUAGACGGCCAUGCAAGUCUGAUGUGAAAACCCGGGGCUCAACCCCGGGACUGCAUUGGAAACUGUGCGGCUGGAGUGUCGGAGAGGCAAGUGGAAUUCCUAGUGUAGCGGUGAAAUGCGUAGAUAUUAGGAGGAACACCAGUGGCGAAGGCGGCUUGCUGGACGACGACUGACGUUGAGGCUCGAAAGCGUGGGGAGCAAACAGGAUUAGAUACCCUGGU